CCUANGGGGGGCAGCAGUGAGGAAUAUUGCGCAAUGUCCGAAAGGGUGACGCAGCGACGCCGCGUGGAGGAUGAAGGCCCUAUGGGUCGUAAACUCCUUUUGAGGGGGAAGAAUAGUUCCAUAUACUGGGAUUUGACGGUACCCCUAGAAAAAGCACCGGCUAACUACGUGCCAGCAGCCGCGGUAAUACGUAGGGUGCGAGCGUUGUCCGGAAUCACUGGGUGUAAAGGGAGCGCAGGCGGGUUGGCAAGUCCUUGGUGAAAUCCUGAGGCUUAACCUCAGUACUGCCAAUGAUACUGUCAAUCUUGAGUACAGAAGAGGAAGACGGAAUUCCUGGUGUAGCGGUGAAAUGCGUAGAUAUCAGGAAGAACACCGGUGGCGAAGGCGGUCUUCUGGUCUGUAACUGACGCUCAUGCUCGAAAGCGUGGGGAGCAAACAGGAUUAGAUACCCUANUANUC
This 459-nucleotide ribosomal RNA is filed under the name uncultured bacterium. RNAcentral describes it as "bacterial SSU rRNA". It matches the Rfam family "Bacterial small subunit ribosomal RNA", at positions 338 to 795 of the family's 1533-position model. The record is from RNAcentral.